Non-coding RNA from Pelodiscus sinensis (Chinese soft-shelled turtle), 679 nucleotides. Lineage: Eukaryota; Metazoa; Chordata; Testudines; Trionychidae. The record is from RefSeq and is a predicted model, not a curated record.
GUCAACUUGAAUUCUAGUUGGUUGUUUCUAAUAUGUGACAGACACACCUUCACCACUUUCUGAUUGGCCCAGAUCAACUUUCCCCAGAAGACAAACCAAACCACGACACCCUUGUGCAGCCUAUUUGGAUCAAAGUGACACGGUCUGAAACAUCUGGAUCUAAAAGGCGACAAAGGAGACUUUCAUUGUCUAGCCACUGAGCGCUCCGCAGACCUGGGAUUCUCCGUUUCCUGUCCAUCUUUUCUUUCUAGUGACACUGAGUUCCCAGCCAAAGUACAGCCAUGAAGAUCCUUUGCCUUCUCUUCACUGCUCUCUUGGUGUUCCAAGUUGCACCCGGCCUGGCACAGAGUAUUUGGACCCCGUCGCAGUGCGGACGCUUUGGGGGCGAAUGCCUCUUGCCCUGUCCCCGCUAUACUAGACGCUUUGGGAAGUGUGUCACACGGGGCUUCUGCUGCUUGCGAAGUCGUGGCUGACAGUCCUGCGGACGGUUCAGGCAGGAUCUCUGGGAGUCUGGUGCACCUUCUCACCUCUAAAAGUGUUAGAUCCUGCUUCAAGGGCAGUCUGAAGUUCAUCUGAGCUGAUCAGAGCCAUGUGUGCUGGAGAAAUCCAAACAGGACAGUAUCUGUAGUUGACCAAAGAUUGCAACGUCCCAUUUAAUAAAAGCUGUUGUGACAUCACA